GUGCAGAAUAGACAAAAAGCUUCAAACAACAAACGAUUUGGGAAAUAUCAAUUACGCCAGUAAUCUCCGAUUCUCACCACAAAAUGAUAUUAUCCUUGUUUACAACACAAUGCAAAAAGUUGACAGCUGCUUACCUGUAACUACCAUAACCUUCAAGUGCCCAAAACAAAUGGGUGAUAAAGGCCCAUUGUUGACAGCUGCUGAUGACUGUGCAUUUGAAGUUCUCUGGGAGACAGACUUUGCUUGCCCACAGUCCAGUGUCAUGUCUACAAAUAGCUGUGUGCUGAGGAAUGAAUUUGUUAACUUCGACUUGACGCCGCUCACUAGAGCCAUGAUCACCCCUUACAUAAUAAAGCAUGAUGACGUUGAUUCACAAGGCAAAACAACCCAUUAUAAUUAUUACAUCAAUGUUUGUCAAGCACUUGUUUCUCUUUGUGGAGGUUUGUGUCAUGGACAUUAUAUUUGAUUGAGGAAUAGAAAACACUUUCCCAGUUUCUAUUUAACAAUUAUUAGAUUAUAAGCUUAAGAUUUCUAAUGUGUUAUACUUGUAGUUGAAGAGAAUGCAGUCCGAAUCAACUAUCACGCAUAGAAAUUGAAAACGAAUAGGCUACAUUGUGUAAUUGUUUCAGUAUAAAUCUAGUUAUUCAAAACUUUAUCUAAUUCUUCUUCAGAUACAUUUUGAAAAUGCAAAGAAGCAGCCACAGCCACUGCUGGGUUACUGUCUAUCUACAACAUAAUAGAUAGUGAGUAGCAUAGCCAAUAAGAGAGCGGCAUUCAUGCACGAAUGCUAGUAGAUUUAUACUAACAAGUUAUGGAUGACACAUAAUGGGAGUGUUUUUUAGUUCACCCAAACUAAUUGCUAUCAGUAUUUCUAUACCACAAAAGAAACAGAGAGAAAAUCCUUUCUAUAAUGUGAGAAAAAGAAAGGAAAAUGAAUUUUUUCUUUUGAUUGGCAAAAUUUAGAUCCUCUUUAAUUUGUUCUCACCAUAUGUGUAAUUACAUCAACAGCCCAUGCGACCUCUGUGUUUCUAUCAAGUUUUAGUAUAAAUCUACAAACAUUGUAUCAUUGUAUCAUUGUAUCAUUGUAUCAUUCUAUCAUUCUAUCAUUCUCCAAUGUCAUUCUCUCUAAUAUUUUAUUGGCUAUACCACUCACCAUCUAUUCUUUUGUACAUGUGGAUGGUGAGUAGCCUAACAAUGUGCAGUUGUUAACAAAAUGAUGGCCGCUUCUUUGCAUUUUCAAAGUGUCUGUAAACAGGAUUUAGACAAA
RNAcentral lists this unclassified non-coding RNA (1267 nucleotides) under Orbicella faveolata. RNAcentral describes it as "uncharacterized LOC110044372, transcript variant X2". The record is from RNAcentral. Lineage: Eukaryota; Metazoa; Cnidaria; Anthozoa; Scleractinia; Merulinidae.